This 468-nucleotide ribosomal RNA is filed under the name uncultured bacterium. RNAcentral describes it as "partial 16S ribosomal RNA". It matches the Rfam family "Bacterial small subunit ribosomal RNA", at positions 28 to 507 of the family's 1533-position model. The record is from RNAcentral.
GACGAACGCUGGCGGCGUGCUUAACACAUGCAAGUCGAACGGAAAGGCCCUGCUUUUGUGGGGUGCUCGAGUGGCGAACGGGUGAGUAACACGUGAGUAACCUGCCCUUGACUUUGGGAUAACUUCAGGAAACUGGGGCUAAUACCGGAAAGGAGCUCCUGCUGCAUGGUGGGGGUUGGAAAGUUUCGGCGGUUGGGGAUGGACUCGCGGCUUAUCAGCUUGUUGGUGGGGUAGUGGCUUACCAAGGCUUUGACGGGUAGCCGGCCUGAGAGGGUGACCGGCUACAUUGGGACUGAGAUACGGCCCAGACUCCUACGGGAGGCAGCAGUGGGGAAUAUUGCACAAUGGGCGGAAGCCUGAUGCAGCAACGCCGCGUGCGGGAUGACGGCCUUCGGGUUGUAAACCGCUUUCGCCUGUGACGAAGCGUGAGUGACGGUAAUGGGUAAAGAAGCACCGGCUAACUACGUG